This is a long non-coding RNA of Equus caballus (horse), 1614 nucleotides long. The record is from Ensembl. Lineage: Eukaryota; Metazoa; Chordata; Mammalia; Perissodactyla; Equidae.
AUUAAAUUCAAAUAAGCUUUAUUGGGUAAUUACAAUAUGCAAAAUAUCUUGCUAGAUGGUGUGCUGGUGAUACCAUAAAGAACAGAGGGGUCCUGAUCCCUGGCAACUCAGUCUGGUAAGGGAAGCAGUUAGUUACCUGAACAAUGGUUCCCAGUAUGCAGAUAGUAACAGAGAGCUACAGAAACAGCGUUCUGCGCUGCUUGCCACCUGAGUCUUGAGCGAGGAAAGGGGCUGUAUUUGCACAGCAGACGUGAGAGGAGCCCUUUAUUCUCAACAAGGAGAACUUCUUCCUCCAGGAUAGAACUGCCAGAGCGCACAGUCAACCCCUUUCACAACAGACUAGGGAGGAACAAUGGUUUAUUGAGAUGCCCAGGGCCUCACACCAGCAAAGCAAAGAGGUUGGCAACAAACUACUAAUGACACAGGUUAACAUGCUGACAUCCCAAACUUCUGUGUAGGAGGAGUCAAAACCCAAUGAGACCAGAGAUAGUCCCAAGUCACAAAAAAAAUAAGCAAAUAAAUGUCUCUAAUGCCCACAUUGUGACAUCAUGACUCUGUGGAGCUUUUCAGGACGAGAAGAGGUGAAAAAUAGGGUCACUUGGAGUUUGAAGCAAGUAAAGGCAGAUCUCAGCAAUUAUGACUGUUUACACCUUACCCGCGUGAUGCUUACAACUCACUAAAGGCUUCCAGUGUUUCCCUCUAAUCCUGUCUGGCCUGAACCGACAUGAAGGAAGCCUCCAUGCUGGAAAGAUCACACGGAGAGACUAAAUAAAAAUAGAGAGACAUUCCUGACAGUUCAGCUGUGCCAGCCCCCAGUGGUUUGAGUCUCCCCAGCUCAGGCACCAGACACAUGACUGACCCUUCAGACGAUUCCAGCCUUCUAUCUACUUCAACUGAUGCCAAGUAGAAUAGAGGCAUCUGCUUCACAGGGGGAGAUCCUGCCCUAGUAAGCUUACCACCCGAACAGCCAAUAAUAUGAGCACCCCGAAGACAGAUGCUUCCAAAAGAGAGAAGGUCACUGAGUUGCACACGCCGACUGUCUUCUUCAGAAUAUCAUCGGAUGUUGCUCCUUCUCGCUUGUGUUGAGUAAGAGAAGGGAAUAAAAGUUCCCUGCCACCAUGCGAGUGGGAGGAAUGGGGAGAGAAGCAUGUCUCCCUCACCCAAGCCAGCAUUGGCCCCAGGUGGGAAAAGCCAGCUGGCGAAUGGAGGCCACCCUGAGCCAAGAGAUGGAGAGAUCCUUGAUAAGAUCCUUUGAAUGACUGCAUCCAGCCAGCCAGACGUUAUGUGAGCCCAUGAAUUCUCCUUUGUGAAGUUUAUCUUGAGGUUCUGUCACUCUUUGUCAAGAAUCCUAAUGGAGAUAUGGUUGAAGAGAUGCUCCCAUGGCACCAAAGUAGAAAUUAUAUAAAAGAUAUUUCCAGAUCACAGAGAAGAGAGCUUUUCUGUUAGGUUUUGUUGUUGCUGUUGUUUUUGUUUUGGUUUUGGUUUUUUGGUUUUUUACUGGAGUAACAUGUUUGGCCCUGAAGUUGGAAAGUUAUUGUAAAAGUUCAAAAGUGAACUGAUGAGGAUAUUGACCACUUACUAGUCACUAGUUUAUUGAUAGUGACUAAAGCAAAG